ACAGCAAUGGCUCUUCUAGCACUUGUGUUUGAGCAGCUGCAUAAGAGUGUCUUUCUUCUUCCUCUUCUCGUCCUUUCUGCGUUCAUUCUCUUUUCGUUUACUAGAUCAUCGUCCAAUGGCGACGAGAAACGCAAACUCAAGUUACCACCUUCCCCACCAAGGUUGCCAUUGAUCGGAAACCUUCACCAGUUAGGCACAUUCCCGCACCUUUCUCUCCAUGCUCUCUCGAAAAAGUAUGGCGAUUUAAUGCUAGUUCAUUUCGGGAAAGUUCCGACUCUGAUUGUUUCGUCUGCAGAGAUGGCCAAGGAGGUGAUGAAGACGCAGGACAUUGCUUUCUGCAGCCGGCCGAAAGCCACUGCUCCAGGAAUAUUGUUCUAUGACGCUCAUGAUGUGGCGUUUGCUCCUUACGGGGAGUACUGGAGGCAAGUUCGGAAAAUCUGUGUUCUUGAGCUUCUCAGUCUUAAGAGGGUUUCACAGUUUCAGUACGCAAGGGUUGAAGAAGUUUCCGAGUUGGUCGGAAAGAUUCGCAAAGCGUCGAGUCUCAAUGGCGGGGGUCCUAUUGUUCUGAGUGAUCUGCUGGUGGCAACCUCCAACAACAUCAUCUGCAGGUGUAUUCUCGGACAAAAGUUUGAGGGCGAAGAGAACAAGUGGUUCGGAGAUGUGGCGAAAGAUUUGAUGUGCCAACUCAUGAGUUUCAGUUUUACGGAUUACUUUGGUCCGAGGAUGAGUUGGCUCGACCGUGCUAGAGGCCACAUUAAACAUUUGACAUCAAUUUGGUCCGAAUUUGAUAAGUUCUUCGAUAAGUUGAUUGCCGAACAUAAGGAGGCAGAGAAAGAAGGCAAGCCUCGCAAGAAGGAUUUCGUGGAUAUUCUCCUCCAAGUUCAAAAGGAUGGCAAUGACUUUGAGCUCAAAAGUGACCACCUCAAAGCACUUCUACAGGUCUGUAUAUAUCCCCCUCCAUAAGUUACUCUCUAUAACAAUAACAUGGAUAAUAUAUAUAUAUUUAUGGCUGAAGAUUGAUUUGGCUUCUUAAUUUACGAUUUCAGGACAUGUUUGUCGGAGGAAGUGAUACUAGUUGGACUGCCAUGAUAUGGUUGAUGACAGAGCUUGCAAAAAAUCCGCGUGUGAUGAAGAAAGCCCAAGAAGAGGUAAGAAGAGUGGUGGGGAAAAAGGGAUUUGUAGAUGAGAAUGUUGACAUCCCCCAAAUGACCUACAUGAUAUGUUGCAUCAAAGAAAAUAUGAGAGUUCAUCCUCCGGCACCUCUUUUACUUCCCCGUGAAACAAGUACAGGUGUGAAAUUGGGAGGUUACGACAUCCCUGCGAAAACACAAGUGUUUGUCAGCGCAUACUCGGUACAAAGGGACCCCAAAGUCUGGGACAAGCCCGAUGAGUUUUACCCGGAGAGGUUCGAAGAAAAGUCCGUUGGUUUCGUAGGUCAGGAGUUUGAACUCAUCCCAUUCGGUGCUGGGAGAAGAGUGUGCCCUGGACUCGGCUUUGGGGUUGCUUCAGCUGAAUAUGUGCUUUCCAACCUUCUAUAUUGGUUUGAUUGGAAAUUGCCUAGUGGUGGUAAAGCAUUGGCUGAGACCAUGGACACCGAUGAAGUUUACGGACUCACAGUCCAUAAGAAAGCUUCUCUCAACCUUAUCCCAAUCCCAUACAACCCUUGAUCCCUCCAUAGAGGUCCGUCAUACUUAUAUAUGCUUUUAAUUAAUUGUGUUUGUUGUUUCUGUUUCACCUGAAUUUGCUUUAGUAAUUCUGCACUUUACAAUGUUUUGAUCCUCAACGAGACGUUGUAAUGUGACUGCGUAGAAAUUGUAACAGAUACAUAGUUUUUGAUAAUAAUACAUAUUUCGGAUUUCCAUACAGAGGGACCCCGAAGUAUGGGACAGGCCGGAGGAGUUUAUCCCAGAGAGGUUCGAGGACAGCCCCAUUGAUUUCAAGGGCCAGGACUUUCAACUCAUCCCAUUUGGUGCUGGGAGAAGGGGUGCCCGGGAAUUGCCCUUGGGUUCUUUCGGCCGAACAGGUGCUUGCGAACAUUCUGUACUGGUUUGAUUGGAAAUUGCCUAGUACUAGUGGUAGUGCAUUGCGUGAAGCCUUGGACAUGACUGAAGUUUAUUGGCUCACGGUCCGUAAGAAAGCUCCUCUGAUUCUUGUGCCGGUACCCGACUCUCCUUGAUCCCUCCAUCCAGAGAUUUCGUGUUUAACUUGCUCUUAAUCUAGUUGUUCUUUUGUUUUUUUGCUGAAGAAGUUGUCUGCCUUAAUGAUAUGGUAAACUAUAUAAAAUGUAUUGUUUGCCUAAGUUCUCAGAGGCAUCUCAAUAAACACUUCUCCCAUCUUAGCUACUUCCAUUCUACCUUGGAUGAGUUCUUGGGUUAAUUUUUUGAGUCUUUUUUUGGGAAAAUGUAGUACUCAUGGCCAAUCCCAAGCGGUCAAGUUUUUAUUGGAAAAAUUAUUAGAACCUUCAUUUAAUGGAAAUAUUUGAAUUAGAAACUGUUGUGCGGAAGUGUCAAAUAUGAAACCAAUAAACUAAUACGGAAAAAUAUGACAAGACAAACAAUCUAUAAUGACACAAGAAUUUAUAUUGGUUUGGCUUACAUGCAAUUCAAAGAAGACGAGGAAAUUCCGCUAAUAUCAAAAUGGAGAUUACAAAUCGAAUUUUACUCUCAAAUCCCAAAACCCACAUAUACCCAAUAGCUCUCACUCAUACAAGAACAAAUGGAGAAGAUAGAAACACAUACCAAAUCCCUUCUAUCCCAAAAGCCACAAAACAUAGCCUGAAUAUCUUUGACUGAGUGAUUACUAAGAGCAACUCCAUCGUUGCUAAGGCCCCCCAGGGCUAUUCACUAUUUAAUUCACCCAGUAAACAAGAAUUACCCUUAAUGAACAGUAACAACAUUUUGCAUCUCCACCCCUACACUGAAAAACCCUAGCAAUAGGCAAUAAAAUAUUAGUAUUUUAUUUAUUUAUAAAAUAAUACAAAAUAAUUUUAUUUGUAAUUUUGAAUAAGAUUUUUAAUCGUUCUCAUUGCGCCACGUGUCAUUAUCUGAAAAGACAAUUAUUGGUGAUGAAUUUCGAUAAGAUUUUUAUCCAAUACCGUCGUGUCACGUGCUGUUACCUUUUCAAAAUCGUUAAGGAUAGAUUUUCGAUAAGAUUUUUGACCAAUCACGUCGCGCCACGUGUCACAAUCUGUUUACAAUCUUUGGGGAUACAUUUCGAUCAGAUUUUUAACGAAUGACGGAAAUCGAUCAGGAAUCCACCAUCCAUAUAAUCCAUACCAAUUUUCUAAAUAAUCCACCAUCCAUAUAAUCUGUUUACAACCUAAUCCUUUAUGAAUCCUCCAUAUAAUCCACUAUCCAUCCUCAGAAAUCUCACACCAAUUUUCUCAAGAUCUUUAUCGUUAUUCAUAGUUUCUGCUUCCUUCUUCACCAAAAUCAAAAUUUGUAUCAUUAUUCAUAGUUUCUCGUUCUUUCUUACAAUGUCUUCUUCUUCAAGGAUGAUGUGGGAAAUCGAUCAGCAAGAGGAAGAUGUGUUUAACCAAUUAGAAGGAAUGUUCAAUCUCCAGGUGGCCCAAAAUGAGAUGGAAAAGGAUGAGGAGCGUAGAAGGAGAGAUGACAAAGCAAGAAUGGCAAGAGCCUCACAUUCCCGUCGAGUCAUCCAAGUUAUGGCUCAGAUCUGCAGGCCAAGCCAUUUUGUAAACCUUGAUAAAAGUAGGCAACGACGAGGUACAUAUCUAUUGGACGAUUAUUUUGUCCGUCACAGUGCAUUCCCUGAUACGUACUUUAGACGUCAUUUUAGAAUGGAACGACACUUGUUCAACAAAAUCAUGAUUGUUGUUUGCAACCAUGAUUCUUACUUUGUGCAAAAGAAUGAUGAUUUUGAUGUUAUGGGUCUCAUUCCUGAGCAAAAAAUUAUUGUUGCCUUGCAGAUGCUUGCAUAUGGAGCAUCUGCAUACCAAAUGGAUGAGAUAGCGAGGAUGGGGGAAUCAACCAUUCUUGAGUCCCUGAUGAGGUUUUGCGAAGCAAUUGAAUCUAUCGACAUCGCAAAGUACCUCCGGAGACCUACUGAGAUAGACUUGCAAAAGCUUCUAAAGAAGGGCGAGAUACGAGGUUUUCCUGGGAUGAUUGGAAGCAUCGAUUGUAUGCACCAGACCUGGAAAAACUGUCCAAGUGCAUGGCAAGGCGCUUAUGGGGACAAAAAAAAGCAAAAAGUGUCAUUUUGGAGGCGGUGGCAUCUUUUGAUACAUGGAUUUGACACGCCUUUUUCGGGGUUCCAGGAGCUCAAAAUGACCUUAAUGUCCUUGCCCAAUCCCCAAUGAUGUCUUGCAAGGAAAGGCACCUAAAGUCAUGUACUCGGUCAACGGACAUAAAUACGACGGGGCAUACUACUUAGCAGAUGGCAUUUACCCAAGGUGGUCAUCUUUUGUCAAAACAGUGCCACUUCCGCAAAGUGCAAAGGAAAAACACUUUGCAAGCUGUCACGAUGGGUGCAGGAAGGAUGUGGAGUGUUGUUUUGGUAUCCUCCAAGCUUGUUAGGCGAUUAUCAAGGGUGCUGCCAGAAUGUUUGAUUUAGAGUCGCUUCGAUCCAUCAUGAUGACGUGCAUCAUUCUUCACAACAUGAUUGUGGAAGAUGAGUACAAUUAUGAUGUCGUUAAUGAAUAUGAGCCAGACACGAUGAACAAUUCCAGAACACAAAUAUAUUAUGCUCAUGACGCCACCGAAGAACCUGUGCAACACGAGCCAUUAGAAAGGGAUGAACGUUACAAUCAAAUGCUCAUUCAACGAUAUGCUGCACUUCAAAGGCCAUAUAUGCACAAUGCCCGGCAUAUUGAUUUGAUAGAGCACCAGUGAGAAUUGAAACAAGCUCAAGAUACUUAAGUUCAUUUAGUGUGUUUGUUUUUAUUUGGUGUGUUUAUUUAAUUUUAUUUGGUGUGUUUAUUUAAUUUUAUUUGGUGUGUUUUUUUUAGUUCAUUUAAUGAGUUUUUUAUUAUUUGGUAUGUUUAUGUAAUUUUAUUUGGUGUGUUUUUAUUAGUUCAUUUAAUGAGUUUUUUUUUUAUUAUUUGGUAUGUUUAUGUAAUUUUAUUUGGUGUGGUUUUUUUAGUUCAUUUAGUGAGUUUUUUUUAUUAUUUGGUAUGUUUAUGUAAUUUUAUUUGAUUAAAGAUUAUCUUAGUAUAAAUAAAUUACCAAAUUAAAUAAAUUUUCUCUUACAUUAAAUAAAGUACUAAAUUCAAUAAAUUGGAAACAACAUAAAGUACUCUAUUCAAUAAAUAAUAGAUUGCAACCCAAAGUGAUUGAAAAAUUAUGGGCUCCGAUUACAAACAAAGUGAUUGGAAAAUUAUGGGUUCGUGAACGAAUCAUCGUCACCUAACCAAUUUGUGGUGCUAGAAUGAUCUUCUCUUGUCGUGCUAGGACCAUUCCACUUGCUCUCGCUUCUCUUGCACGCCUCUUUUGCACCACGUCGGCUUUCUCCGACUUCCAAAAAUAUUUAGAAUUUGGAGACUUCCUUUCUAAAGGCGUAUUCAUAAUGUCACGAUCUCGUUGAGCCAUUCUUUCUUCUCUAACAUGUUCCUUUUCUUGCCUAAGUAGCUAUCUUUCUGUCCUAUUAGCUUGAAAUUCUCUCUCAACAGCUGCAGCUUUUGUCUCCACUCUAGCCUUAUCAGCCUCAAAUUUAGCCAUUUCCCGUGCCAAAGUCAAUUCACCUUGGCGAGCAAGUUCUUCCAUAUACUUUGCAUAAUCAUUCUUGGAAGCACUCCAUUUUCUCUUUGAAGCCUUCUUACCUUGAGGCCUAAUUGGAUAACAGGUCCACCCCGACGCUUGUUCCGGGGGGGGGGGGCGUUUCAGGCACUUCUUCUGCGUCAUCUUCAUGAACAUGUGAGGAAUGAUCGGGUGUAAAGUGUAGAUGGGUGCUGUUCAUGAAAACUUCGAGACCAACAGGCACAAUUCUAAAUUUAAGACAAUCUUUGACAAUAUUCCAACAUUCCCACAUUUUGAAUGAUUGCUUUUGGUUUUUGGAUUUGGCAUUAUACCAAGAUUGUGCUUGAAGUGUCUACAUAAUGCGGGCGAAGAAAUAAUUAUAAUCAAAGUAGCUAAUGUAAAUUUGGGUAUAAAACAAACAAAUAAAUAAUAUAUUGUUACCUGAUCUUCUAAAUUUUCCCCACUUUGAAGAUUACUACUAGCUUGUGCCAAAGUAUCUCUCCACAUACCAAACGAUUGGCUAAGUAUUUUCCAACAACUAGACAUCGAUUCUUUGGUUCUUUUCCCACCCAUUUUCUCAAGAUAAUUUGUAUGAAUAAGACUCCACAUUUCUCGCAGCUGCAUCUCAUUACCGAUAAUCGGAUCAUGAGUAACUUCAACCCAACUAGUACACAACGCAACAUCUUCAAUAAGAGUCCAAUUCGUAUCUGCAUUAGUAGUCAUUUUAUUGGAAAAAAUAUUGGAUUGAAACUUUGAGAGAAAGAUAGGAAUGUGGUUGAAGGUAGCUGAGAAAAUAUGAAAUUGUGGUUGAAACUUUGAGAAAAUAUGAAAUUAUGGUUGUGGUUGCAAGUAUUUGCGAGAAAGAUUGGAAUAUGCUUGAAAGAUUGGAAUAAGGUAGAAGAUAAUGAGAAGGUAUUUAUAGAAAAGUAAAAUCAAUUUUUUUUUAAUUUUUCAAAUUUUUUUUUUCGGAUUUUUAAUAAUUUUUAAUUUUUAUUCACAUAAUUAAUCUUUGCCGUUGGAUUAAAAAAAAUUGAAUUCCAACAUUUCAGAUUGUACCAUGUGGCACAACGGUAAUAUUUCAGAAUUAUAAUUUUUUUUAAUUUAUAAAGGUGAAUAACGUGGAUCGUUGAUCUCAGAUCCAACGGUUGAAAUUAAAUAAGGUUUUUAAAUUUUUGUUACCGUUGGAAAUCUAACAAUCCACAAAUUGUUGUCGUUGAAAUCCAACAGAUGAGGGGAAGCCACGUGGCCUCCCAACGAUAACAUUUUCAGAGUGCGCAGCGGGCCCCAGCUUCUGAAAUCCUGUCAAACGACGCGCGCCAAAUAGAGCUUGAAGCCCACGCACCUGACAGAAAAAAAAUAUAUAUAAAAAAUGGUUGAUGUUAGCCUUGCCAUCGGGCUCUCGGGCCAGCUCUAUCGCCAAACCCCUCCCUCGGGCCAGCUCAGGCUUAAUAGCCAGCUUGGGCUGAACCUUCUUGCUCGGGCAAUUGGACACUGUUUGAUCCACUGUCCACUGGGCUAUCAGCUUCGGUGGAGCUGCUCUAACAAAGAGGGAGCAGCAACUCAUUUUCUCACUAAUUAGAGUUGUCGGCAUACAACUCCUUUUUCUCUCAUAUGCCGCCGCUCCAAACCAAAAGGCAUAAAGAAUGCUUUGUAUAUAUCUACAUGCUUUCAAAUUAAACCCUAGCCCAUUGUGGGCUAUUAAGCAACCAAUCUUUGGGCUUUAGACAAAACAAAAGGCACAAUCAAAAUUGAGCCAUUAAUCCAACAAUCUCCAACUUGGCGAAAUUCCUGAAAGCAACACAGAGUCAAAUCAACAAUCAUCAUAAGCACCCAAAGUACGAACUAGAAACAACGGAAGCUAAAUCAAAAUCCCCAAGCUCUCAAUGCUCAUAACAAUCUCAACAUCGACUCAAAUUGUACCAAAAUCAUCAAAAGUAGAACAUUUCUCCACAGUCUUCCCCAAAUUUGCAAACCAUAAGUGCCUUUCUCAAAACAAAAGUAAUUCAAACGAAGAACUAAAAUUCUUCAAUAUCACCUACAAAAUCAAGCACAUCAUAACAAAGUAGGACACGCAAACUUGUUCACAAACACCAUGGUCUAAAAAUGCACCAAUAGACUCAUUCACAUAGCAUGACACAUUCUCCAGGUCAAAGCUGAUUACACAUUUGGUGACAUAUGUCCAACAUAGCACAUACAAAACCUUUGACCCCCAAAUUCAACUCCUAGGAAUACCAAAUUUUAUGUCAUUCACUCAAGCUUACCAUCAUCGCCUGAGCACCAACAGGACAACUAAAAAUUUCAAAUUCAAAUAAUCAGCAGGAGAUCCAAAACCAUAUCUCAACUAGAGUCUUCAAGAAAGCUAAUUGCAGAUGAUGGAGACCAACAAACCAAAUAGCCUAUAGACUAAACAAAGUUAAAAAGCAUAUAACUUGCCUUCUACCAGAGGGUUCCACACAAAUGUUCCACAUUGCACGUGGUGUAUCUAAGUUAGUGUGGUGUCUCACUAUCCAAACUUUGUAGAACUCCACAAUUGGCCCUCAUUGAAUACAACUCUACCAAAAGGCAAAACCAUACCAAUACCCAAGUUCCUUCAGCAACAAAUUCCAUUACAAAAACUAACAAAUUCAAGCCAAAAAAUCUUUGCAAAGCUCGAACAAACAUACCCAAUAAAACUCCACAUUGACAAUACAAAGUGAACAAACGUUGCCUCAAUGACAACCAAAUGGGAUAGGUAAACUAACUCUUCAACUUGAGCCACAAGUCAAAUGCAUAUUUGACAUCAAUAAUAACAAAAUACUCCAUUUUGAAAGCUAAAAAUGACGAAUAUGAAAUGUUUGAAGAGCUAGGUUUUGUAAAAAUAAUGAAGACAAAAUCAAGGAUGUGAGAAGAAAUCAAAAGUCAAGCUAGUGCCAUUUGUCAAUAGAUGAGAUAGAUAUAGUUAUAUGAAAGUUGUUAUGAGUUGUUAGACGUGUAAUUAAUUAGUUGAGAUAAGGAGGUUCGAAAAUAAUCCAGUAGCUUAACUUUCACUACAAGCUUUGCAAGAUAUAAACUACCGUCGUAAACAUUACUUGACGAUAAAAGAAACAUUUCUCAGUCUAAAACUCUCGAGCUCUCUCUUUCUUAUCUGAAUUUCUGCACUCAAGUUUCUUCAAGCUUUCUUCAAUCUUCACAGGUUUAAGAACAAAAAAAUGAUGACAAUGGGCAGGACUUUGAUUGGACGCCCUAGUAAUGCCAGUACAUUCCCUCCUCCAUGCUUACUAUUUUUUUAAAAUCAUCUCCAUGCUUACUAAUUUAUUAUGCUCUUCUUUGUUUUGUUUUUUUUACCGACGAUAAGAUAAUAGAUAGUUUACAUUAUACUCAUGUUUAGCAUAAGAAAAUUUGGUGACGAGAAUUUGAACUUGAAUGCAAAUUAGAAACAUAUAUAAAUUUCAACAAAAAAAGUAGAAUUACGGAAAACUAAGCAAAUAAUUUGUGUUGUGUUAAUUUAAUUUGUAUGUAAAAUGUCCAUCCAAUUUUCUAUUUUAUUAAAGUGUUAGGAUCAAAGGACAAAAUUUUUAUAAAUACGUUUACACUUCUUUUUAUAAAUCUAUCCACAUUCUACUGUCAUAAAUAAGAGUUAAGAUGACUAAUACCAAGAUUCCCAACUCAUUAUUAUUAAAUAAAGUGCAUGCAUGAAAAUAAAAAUAAAUUUCGACUAAUAAUUUUUCUUUAGAAUAUAAUAUUAUGUUAAAAGCUAAACACCUUGACCACUUAUACUACGUACAGUCACCAGAUAUUCUUAUGUGCUUGAGAAGUUUAAAUGAAUAACGAGUUUAAUAUCAAUUUAUUUUUUUUAAUCUUAAAUAUAUUACAAAUAUAUCAUUGCUAAAAAUAAAAUAAAAAAAAUAAAAAAACCUUAAAUAUAAUAUAAAUAUACCAUUGUUUAAUAUCAAUUUUAAAUAUAAUAUAAAUAUACCAUUGUUUAAAUAUAAUAUAAAUAUACCAUUGAAGAAAUGUACAGCUCAAGUUGUUUUGUGAAGUUGGUGAAGACACAUGAUUCGUUUACUAUUUUCUGGUGUGGAGUGAUCUUGCCGAUAUGGGUUUAUGUUGAAAAUGGGGUUUUCUAUUUUGUUGUUUUUUUGAUGAAUUGUCUAAGAUAAACUAGUGUUUCAUUCAGUAAUUUGGUUGGAUUACGAGAUUUCAAGAAAGUGUCAUUCUUUCUUGAUGGUUAAGAAAGUAUCAUUCUUUUUUUUAUUCCAUAGAAUUUGAGUAUCAUUCUCUCGUUGCCUUAGAAUUUGUCAAGAGUAUCAUUCUAUUGUUACUUUAGAAUCUGUCAAGAGUGUCGUUCUCUUGUUGCCUUAGCAUUUUUGUCAAGAGUGUCAUUUUCUUGCUGCCUAGAAGAAUUCAUCUGUUUUUUUAUUUCUAGAUUGUACUUGUACCUUUCAUCAUGGCUUCACCAACGGCUAAAGUUGUAGUCUUGUGUGAUGAUGAUGGAGUGAGCAGAGGUUUUGGUUUGUGUCUCAACUCUUCAAGAAGCUGCAAAAGCUCUCAGUAAUCUUUUGGUCAGCAAUUACAAAGGUGUCAUGGCAACCGAGCUGCUACGUAGUAUAUGUAAAUUAGGAGGAAGUUUUGAGUGGGUAGACAUGCCACCAGGUUUAACCGAUUGGGUAGAAGAACCAACUGUAGGCAUGAUAUGGACAUCAUUCUUUACCUGAGCAGCCUUGAGAAGUGAUGCAGCAUCUGAAGGAAAAGCAACGCAUGCCCCAGCAGCAAACACAGCGGCUCUUACCAUACUAUCAGCCUUCAUGGGACUACGGUUCAGCUUUAGCAGUAGUAAAAUGCAGAGAGUUACUUGUUGCAUUUGUUCCAGCAAGCUUGCUAUCAAGUUAAUCCAAAGUUAGUGUAGUUAAAAGUGCUACAAUGUUGGAUCAUCAACUUUAUUCGAAAUGGUUAUUGGUAGCAUCAAAAGUGGAACUUGUAUCAAAGAUGUGGGACUGAACAUUCAAUUGUGGAUCACUUUAUAUUUUCAAGAUAGCGGGGUUGUCCAAAUACAAUACAGUUUUCCUGCUCAUUUAUGUCAACAACUCCAAACUAUCAUACACUGCUCCAAACUGCAAGAGGCAGGGGUUUGGGGUUUUCUGCAGUGUUUAGCUUCAUAACAAUAAUUGUAGAUGUAUGUACAAAAGGAUUGCACAGUCCAAUGUUCUUGAAGCAUUGCAGACAUCUUCGUCUCGUAAUUCCAGAUAAUAGAGAGAGUUAUCUUUGUAUUCUUAUUAUUUCAGAUUAUAAUGAAAGCAUCAUUGCUGCCCCGAUGAUGUACUCCAGUCAUAUUGACAGUAAAGGAACCUCGUAAAUUUUGUGUCUUGUUUCUUUUAUUCCACUGCACACACUGUCGAUUUUACAACACGUUAUCAGCACAAGAAGCUCUCAUGUCAGUGGAAAGCACAAUGCCAUAAAUCCGAUGAAGCAUUACCUACCUUCCACCUCUGCUAGCCAAAAAUCUCACAGAAUAAAAGGUUUGUCCAUUUUCUGUAUCUUCUACCGCGCCUGAAGCGCCCCACCAAAUUUAGGUGAGAAUUGAAAUUUACGACCUGUAGUCAUCACAAGAUAAGAAAACUCGUACCAACAACUUGUUUCCAGAGAUUCAGAAGAAUCUCAUCAGACUUGGAAACCCAGAUCACAUCGUUUUCGACGGAUCUCGAGAACUCCCAUGAAUACUCGAUUGUUUGAGAUGGUGAUGACAAGAAUGAAUCCACAUAAGCUUCCCUAUCUUGUGCCUCCAUCAACCCCGCUGUCAUCUAUGUCUCUGUAUGGAGGUUCUUGCUUCGCGAUGUCAUGUUCCCUGGGUCAUGCAAGAACAAUGCCAGUCUCUGAUAACCUUUUUGGAUUGAAUUGGUUCUGUGUGACCUCCAUAACAACCCAACUAGCUCUGGGUUUAAGACUGGUAGAGACAGACAAAGAAAAAAAAAAGGAAGGAGGGAUUAUGGAAUGGUGUUUCAGGCACCAUGUGAAUGAAUAAGAAAGAUAAUAAUAAAAUAAAAUAAAGGAGAUGGUGCAUCUGCACCAUUCUGAAAAGAAAAAAUAAUAAUAAUAAAAUAAGCACAAUUUGGAUGGGUGCCUCGACAGAAGUGAAGGGAGGAAUAUAAUAAAACAAAAAGGGGAAAAAACCAAAAGGCUUUGAAUGGUGCAUGUGACCCAUUAUUAAUACUGGGUGUGCGCAUGUGUGUGAAUAGGAUUCUGAGGGAAAUAAUACACAAAGUACCCAAAACAUUCUCCAAAGAUUUCUAAAACCACCAUUCUAAAAAGAAAAAUAUAUAUAUUUCAUGUUAUUGUUAUUUAUGUGAAUGGUGUUGGCUUAAAACACUUUCACAAGUUCUAUUUACUUUAAAACAAUUUAUUUACCAUGGACGGUUUUACCGCCUAUUGCUUUAAGUUUUGAUAUAUGUGAAUGGUGUUGAAUUAAAGCCCUUGUCACAAGCUUUAUUUACUUAAAUGCAAUUUAUUCGUUAUGGCUGGAUUUACCGCCUAUUGCUUUAAUUUAUUUAUUGUACUUAUCUUGUGUUACAAUGAGUAUAUAUAGGACCUGAAGUUCAUUGAUCAAAUCAGAACCUGCAGUUUCUUGAUCCUCAUCAUAUAAAUGAUUGGACCUGAAGUUCCAUCAUGCAAAAAGAUCAGGCAUGAAGUCCCUUGAUCUUGAAGAUCAUGACAUGAAAUUCCUUGAUGAGUAUCGUAAGUUUGAAGUGCCCAGUGCCUUAACUUAAUUGUAAUAAAUAGGUGAAGCUUUUAUGGGUCAAGCUUUUGUAGGUUAAGCUUUUGUGGGUGAAGCUUUUGUGGGUGAAGCUUUUAUGGGUCAAGCUUUUAUGGGUCAAGCUUUUAUAGGUGAAACUUUUGUGGGUGAAGCUUUUGUGGGUCAAGCUUUUGUGGGUGAAGCUUUUGUGGGUGAAGCUUUUGUGUUGAAGCUUUUGUGGGUGAAACUUUUGUGUUGAAGCUUUUGUAGGUGAAGCUUUGGUUGGGUACCAUGAAUUGGUUUUGCUUCACACUAUCUUGAUCAAGAUAGUGUGAAGCUUUUGAGAAUUUGUAGUUGUCCUCCAUUGUUGAAGCUUUUGUUGGUGAAGCUUUUGUGUUGAACCUUUUGUAGAUGAAGCUUUGGAGUUGAAGCUUUGUAGGUGAAGCUUUGGAGUUGAAGCUUUUAUUGGGUACCAUGAAUUGUUUUUGCUUCACACUAUCUUGAUCAAGAUAGUGUGAAGGUUUUGAGAAUUUGUAGUUGUCCUCCAUUGAUGAAGCUUUUGUUGGUGAAACUUUUAUGGUGAAGCUUUUAUGGGUGAAGCUAUUGUGGGUGAAGCUUUGGAGUUAAAGCUUUGUAGGUGAAGCUUUUGUAGGUGAAGUUUUGGAGUUGAAGCUUUGUAGGUGAAGCUUUGGAGUUGUGGGUGAAGCUUUGGAGUUGAAGCUUUGUAGGUGAAGCUUUUGUGUUGAAGCUUUUGUAGGUGAAGUUUUGGAGUUGAAGCUUUGUAGGUGAAGCUUUGGAGUUGAAGCUUUUGUUGGGUACCAUGAAUUGAUUUUGUUUCACACCAUCUUGAUCAAGAUAGUGUGAAGCUUUUGAGAAUUUGUAGUUGUUCUCAAUUGAUGAAGCUUUUGUUGGUGAAGCUUUUGUGGUGAAGUUUUGUUGGGUACCACGAAUUGAUUUUGCUUCACAAUAUUUUGAUCAAGAUAGUGUGAAGCUUUUGAGAAUUUGUAGUUGUUCUCCAUUGAUGAAGCUUUGUUGAAUUUCCUUUUUUAUUUAUUUAUCUAUUUAUUUUUUGGAAACUUGAAAUUUGAAAAUGUGAGAGAGACAACAUAUACAAAUUUUUCUUCCACACUAUUGAGCAAGAGAUUGUGAUGCAGGCCACACCUUGUAGUAGUCGAACGUUUGGAUGAACCACAUAAAUUGAAUUUGCCUCGAAUGUUUGAGAAUUGUAGUUGCCCUCUAUUGAUGAAGCUUUUGUUGGCACCAUAAAUUGGUUUUGCUUCACACUGUCUUGAUCAAGAGUGUGUGAAGCUUUUGAGAAUUGUGGUUGAACUCCUUUGAUGAAGCUUUUGUUGGCACCAUAAAUUGGUUUUGCUUUACACUGUCUUGAUCAAGAAUGUGUGAAGCUUUUGAGAAUUGUGGUUGCCCUCCAUUGAUGAAGCUCUUGUUGGCACCAUAAAUUGGUUUUGCUUCACACUGUCUUGAUCAAAAGUGUGUGAAGCUUUUGAGAAUUGUGGUUGAACUCUUUUGAUGAAGCUUUUGUUGGCACCAUAAAUUGGUUUUGAUGAAGCUUUUGUUGGCACCAUAAAUUGGUUUUGCUUCACACUGUCUUGAUCAAGAGUGUGUGAAGCUUUUGAGAAUUGUGGUUGCGCUCCAUUGAUGAAGCUCUUGUUGGCACCAUAAAUUGGUUUUGCUUCACAUUGUCUUGAUCAAGAAUGUGUGAAGCUUUUGAGAAUUAUGGUUGCCCUUCAUUGAUGAAGCUCUUGUUGGGCAUAAGUGUUCCCCUAGUUGAGUUGUCAAGCUUGAGGGUUUUUUAUUAUUUGUGAAUGCUAGGAGUUCAUAUGUACAAGUUGUACCACUCGUCUUCUGGUAGGUGGAAUGAAUGGUGAGUUGUUUUCAUCACUUGGUUAGUGGUAUGAAGGUGAGUUCAUUCAUCACCUUUCAUCACAUUUCAUCACCUGGUUGAUGGCACAAGGAUGAGUUCCUUCUUCACCUGGUUGGUGGCAUGAAUGGCAAGUUGCCAAAUGAUAUUAGAGUACAGGUUGUACAGUUCAUCACCUGGUUGGUGGCAUGAAGGAGAGUACGGGUUGUACAUUUCAUCACCUGGUUGGUGGCAUGAAGAUGAGUUCCUUCUUCACCUGGUUAGCAGCAUGAGUGGCAAGUUGACAAAUGAUAUUAAAAUACUAGUUGUACAUUUCAUCACCUGGUUGGUGGCAUGAAGAUGAGUUCCUUCUUCACCUGGUUGGUGGCAUGAGUGGCAAGUUGCCAAAUGAUAUUAGAGUACGGGUUGUGCAUUUCAUCACCUGGUUGGUGGCAUGAAGGAGAGUACGGGUUGUACAUUUCAUCACUUGGUUGGUGGCACGAAGAUGAGUUCAUUCUUCACCUGGUUUGUGGGAUGAAUGGCAGGUUGCCAAAUGAUAUUAGAGUACGGGUUGUAUAUUUCAUCACCUGGUUGGUGGCAUGAAGGAGAGUACGGGUUGUACAUUUCAUCACCUGGUUGGUGGCAUAAAGAUAAGUUCUUUCUUUACAUUUCAUCACCUGGUUGAUGAGAAUAAAGGCAAAGUGUCGAGGCACAUUGUAUCAAGUGUCGAAGACACAAAGUAUGUUGAACAAUUUCGAAGCACAGUUGGCUUAUGUAUGGAUGUGUUGGAAUGUUUGAUGUUUAUGUAUGAAUGUGUUAGAAUGUAUAAUGUUUAUGUUGAUUGAUAUGAGUGAUGCUUAUGAAUGUUUUUCUAUACAUGAAGGGAUCCAUGCUUUUGAUAUGUGAACCAUGUUGGUUGUAACACUUGGUAUCACAUACUUUGUAUCAAAGUAUGCAUGUUGAAGCUCUGAGUUUGAGUAUAAGGGUAGGUCAGUGUAGACCAAGUGUUCCAGUGCUAGGAAUGCAAAAGACUCAGAAAAAGUUGUCUGAAUUCCCUUUUCUUUAAAUAUUUGUCGAAUGGCUUGUGUGACAAAAGAUCUGAAGCGGUUGAGAGUCAAAACAUUUGUAAUGUGUAUGCCUUUUUAUAAUAGCAUUUCCUUCAGUACCUAGUCCUCCACUUUGAAAGAGUGAGGCUUGACCUUAUAGUCAUAAUAGUCGACGGUACGUUCACCCCUUGUUGUCUUGAUACGAACUUUUAUCCCUCUUGUUGUAAUGGGCUUACUGAGAGUAAAAAUCUUUCCUCUUACCAAGAGACAGGUACGUUUGGUGACUUAGCGAGUAGCUAAAUGAGGCAGGAGAUGAUGCAAUGGGUGUUUGAAUGGCCAAUAUAUCCUCACUUGGUAGAACUUGACUUCCACUUCCUAUUUAUUGAUAGAGGUUAACCAUAUAGGGUUUUCUUGGUAUGUCCUUACUUGGGCAGAGGUGUGGUUGUAAGCCUGUACCAUCACCACAGAGUAAGUCUUCCAAGUGUUGACAUUGAUCAUGUACUUGAAGAAACAAUCACGUAGGCCUGCCGUGAAGGCCUUGAGGGCGGUCUUGUCAUCUGCCUCAGCGCAGCGAGAAUACUCAUGGCUGAACCGACCGGCAUACUCUCGUAGUGACUUGUCCGGCUUCUGGCGAAUAGUGUAUAAGUCAUCUGCAGAAUGCAAGUGAUUGGUUUGGAAAAUGUGUUGAGAGAGUGUACGAAUAGUGUACAAGUCAUCUGCAGAAUGCAAGAAUAUGGCACUACUAAACUAUUGCAUUCUCGAAGCAUAACUGUUGCAUGCCAGAAGCAUGACAGUGGCCACAUGAAUACAUGGUCCAGAUGGACAAUCUGUGGACAUGGGAAUUUUGAUGUCUUAUGCAUGAAGCAUGAUAGACAUGUAGGUUCCAAUGACUCAACUCCCGGAAGUGGAGAUUAAAAUCCAAGCUCUAUAACGCUCAAGAUGAAAUUAUGAUCCACAUUCUCUAAAUUACGACUAUCCUAGAAGAGAUAGUAUAAUGCCCUUGAAGAGGCAAUGGAUAUCCAAAAGAAAUGAAAAGCUUUUAUGCAUGCGCAUGCACAUGAGAAUAUGGGACCUCGAAUUGAUGAUAACCAAUGGUAAUGUUAAUUUUUACAAGUAGCUACUAAAUUCAUCAAUGAGUUGUGUUGAUAUUGAGUCUCGUUCUUUUUUGUCAACAAAAUUAUUGGCCAAAAUGGAGAAAGGCAAUUAUAUUACAAUUUUGUACGAACGUGGAAAAAUAGACCUAUAUAUUUGAAUAUAAUACAAAUAGCCAAAAGAUGUUGAACCAAGGAGAUUACAUUGGGCAUUUGUAAUACAGUGAAAUACACUCACAUGAUAUGACCCUAAAAUUAUACUCUUGUAAACAAGUUCACAUGAAUGGAGAAUUAUAUAUAAGGGGUUGUGAGUCGCCCACAUCAUAUCUCCAUAAGUAAAUCCCUCAAAUAUACAUGAGAGCAAAUUGCUCUGUAUAAAUUCCAAAGGAAAAUGUGUCAUGAAGUCUAGAAAAUCCCAGAAGGAUUCAAAUUGCUUAAAGUAAGCCCCUGAAGGGUAAAGCAUAAAUUAUGUACUCAAUACCAAUGGAUGAUAUAAAUUGCCUUAGUGAGUACUAUCAUUAUGAUAUUGUUGCAACAUACUAAAAUCUCUUGCAAUAGUCAAUGACAUUAAAUUAGAACUCCUGAAGAGUUGAUGAUAUUAAAUUGAGACUCCUGAAGAGUCAAGAAAAAUUAUAAAGUGUUGAAAGAAAUAUUGUCUUGAGUUGCAGAUCGAACAAUCUACCAACACGAAUCUUAUCCAUGAUGUUAAAGAACCAUAUGGAUUGAAGAUUAUGAGUUGAAUACUCAAAUGAUGUAGACACUAUGAAUGAUCAUUUAUCUUCGUGAGGGUAAAUAUAAAUUGAUAUUUGGUCCAGAAGUACCACAUCUUAGUGAAGUAUAUGCUUUAUUGUAUUUAGCACAAUACACUGAAUGAAAUUGUUGAUGCACAAAAUCAGUGAGGACUUUGGUACAACAGAAAGUGUUAAGUUUGUGACCUUCGCUAGAUUGCUCCGGUCACUAGUGUGGAUAAGUAUGUAAAUGGAUAAGGACAGGCAAGCAAACACAAGAUGUAUGUGGUUCACCCAAAUUGGCUACGUCCACGGAGUAGAAGAGUUCUCAUUAAUUGUGAAGGGUUUACACAAGUACAUAGGUUCAAGCUCUCCUUUAGUGAGUACUAGUGAAUGAUUUAGUACAAAUAACAUUAGGAAAUAUUGUGAGAGAAUGAUCUCUAUUUAUAAAAGAGAGUUUCUAGUUUCAUUCUGACAUUGACACGUGUCGUGUUGUGAUUGGCUUCUGAUGUUGACACGUGUCGCGCUAUGAUUGGCUUCUGAUGUUGACACGUGUCGCGCUAUGAUUGGCCUCCUGGUUGGAGGGAAACUCUUCUGGGUCUUUGACAGUAUAACGUUGACCGGUGCUUAGUAGUUUCGGGAUUGGUCAAGUAUGGUACUAACAGAAAUAAAGCUUAUCUAUUAAUAUCUUCGACAAAUUACAUAUAUGUACAUAUAUAUGAGUUAAAACAAACAAACAGGAUUGAGCCUUCACAAAGAUUGCCCAUGUGAAGCCUUAGUACUCGGAAGUACCCCAGAAAGGGGGAGGCACCGGAGAUUGAUUAUGUGGCACCCUAGUACUUGGCAAAACACAAGAAGGGGAAGGCAUAAGUUGCUUUCAGAAUCUAGCAACGAACAUCUGGUGAUCACUUUGAAUCCGACUUUCGGAUUCCUGCAGCUGGUCGAGUUUUCUUUUCAUGCUCGUCGAGUAAUUAUUUGCAAGCACGUGUAACACUCUAUUUUCGUGCUUGAGCCCUCUGAUCUCUUAUUUAAGACCUGCCACCUCAGCCAUCAAUGAUUCAACUUGGCGAUUUGAGCAAGUAGGCGUUGGCCCAUAUUGGAUACAGAGCUUGCACACUGAACACUGGGAGCCAAUGAGUCUUGAACGGCCGACUCAUCAGACCGUUUUGAAAGGAUCCUGUUAUCAUUUGGAGUGAGAAGAUUUCUAGCUACCACAGUAGCGGUUGUGUUAUUCUUCAUCACAGAGUCCCCAACCGUAAGAGAACCAUUAGAAGAUAAGAAGGACGGACGCCAUAUGUUAUCCUGACGCUGCUCGUCUGUAUCGCUCCUAAGACUCGAAUCUAAGCAAAUGUUAAAUGGGCAAGUCAUUUUCAGAAAUGAUGAAGGAAAAAAGAGGUCAAGUAAAAUUUCAAAAGUGCAAGAAUGAGGAAAUUUCUACAAGCAGCAACUUUCUUAGCAUACUCUUAAACACAAUUGAUGUCUCUAUAAAAGAAGAGGCAACAGACCCACUCGUUCAGAGUUCGAAGAGGCACCGCUCUUCGAAUUUCAAAAGACAGAUUUUCCUGAAUAAAGUUUGUUGGCAUUUUUCAGACGCAAUCUCAGCUUUUUUUGAUAUCGCGUGCAGCUUUGUCAAAGAUCUCUGAAAAAGUUGAAAAUGCGUAAAUCUUACUGUUCUAAUUACACCACAAUUGCUGACAAGAGUAAAGGCACAACACCAUUACCUGCUAUUGAAAAAUCUCUAUAUAUGUCGAUCUCCGUUCUCCAUAACAAGGCAGACCUGUAAGAAUACCUAACUCUCUUUCAUUGCCGAAAAUGCAUCUACAACCAAACCUCUCAACAUACUCAGUUUCUUUCCUCUCCGAGAAUACCUCUUCAAACAAGUCACACCAGAGCAAAAGUAUCUUAUAUCAUGCAAUCUCCAUGUCAUUUCCUUUGUCCUUGUUCUUACUUGCAAAGACAAGGACAAAGAAAGCAAUAUGUCAAAACCUCCACUCAAUCUCCCGAUAAGGAACCGACUGCCUGGAACCUUGUCUGAUUGCUUACCUAGUAUUGCUCUUGAGUAGCCAUCUUCAACUGUUGUUGGAGUUGAGUCUCCAGUCACCAAGAAGUGAUGAACCAUCCAAAUGCAAGGGUUGCAUUCCAUUCCUACAUUAGAGGGCAAAUACUGCAAGAGAAUAUGCCACACAUGCAUGGGAGAAAACCAGGGAAAAUACUGCUUAAGCAAGGGGAGCAAGGCAACUGAAAAUGAUACAUUGAAGCAUGUGGAGACAAGCGCAACAAACACGUGCUAAUUCGUCCCCGAAAAAACCGAAGAUCACUUGCCACAUGAAGCUCCUCAUGGUCCAAUUUCAUUCAAGAUCAAACCUCGAAUCUCUUGAAGAAAUCACAAGUCCGAUUCAAGAUCAAGUGUCCACCACCCUUGAAUCAAAUUCCGCUCCAGAUAAAAGGAGUAAAUUCAGACCUUUAGAGUAAGUCUCGCAGAAGGCCCUCCAACCCAGUUCAAUAACAAGCCUGUGGAAAGUUAAGAACAAGUAAAGCAUCUCUUUCGGCAUCUCUUCUCGCUAAGAGACUGAAGCAGAAUGAUCAAUGAUCAGCCUAAAUGAUUUGAAAUCAGGGGGAGAUAUUCAUCAGGGGGAGCAUCCAAGACAGAUCAAGAUUUUAACGAGUCAAUCGAAGACUUAUGGCCAUCCAAGGGGGAGUGUUGUAAAUAUGGUGGAUGUCCAUGCUGGCCACUAAUCCACUAAGCUACAAGUGGGAAUAAAGGUUGUCUUUCACUGUCUGCCAAAGCUUACUCCCUACGACUCAUGUUUUCUAUAUAAAUGCAACACACACCAAACAUAGGUUAGUGACUCACGGAGAGAUAGGAAAGAAGAAAGAAAGAGAGAAAAAGAGAGGAAGAGAGAAAAUAGAGGAAUAGGAGAGGAGAUAAUAAAGAGAGUUAUCUUCGUACUCCUGUUAUUUCAGAUUAUAAUGAAAGCAUCACCGCUGCCCUGAGGAUGUACUACAGUCACACUGACUAUAGAGGAACCUCAUAAAUUUUAUGUCUUGUUUCUUUUAUUCUACUGCACACACUGUCGAUUUUACAACAUUUAUUUAUUUUUUAUAUUUGUUAUCCCAAAACAAAGUUAUAGAAAAGUUUCGUAAUUCAUCAAGAAACAUCCGGUAUUCUGGUUUUAAACCAUAGAAAAGUUUCAUAACUCAUAGAAACCACCACGAAAUGUACGAUAUUUUUGAUCAUCAUAGAAUUUUGGCAUCCUCAAUUUGCCAAUCUAUUAAAUUUGAAGUGAAAGAUGAAAUCUUGGCAAACCCCACAAAACAAAUAAUUUAAAACCAUGGCCAAUCUAUUAAAUUUAAAGUGAAAGAUGAAGUCUUGGGAAACCCCCACAAAACAAAUAAUUUAAAAUCAUUCAAGCAAUCAGACAAAGCAAUAAAAAUAAUGUAAAACUACAGAUUCUUACAAAAUGCGGUUUUACUAAAUCUACAAAAAAUAAUUUAAAACCAUUCAACCAAUCAGGCAAAGUAGUAAAAAUAAUGUAAAAACAAUAGUAAUCCGUUUGUUUUUAACAUUUCCUAAACCCUAGCAAUAAUAUGAGUUUUAAUUCGUGUUUAGCGAGAAUCGAACCUAAAAUCUCUUACUUACAAGUGAAAAUGAAUAUCACUAAACUAUAGUACUAAAUGACUCUUUAAUUCCAACAUUAAAAUGAGUUGACGACUUUGUCAGUAAUGUCUGCCUUUUCGUACUCAAGUUUUGCACAAACGGAUUCUUACAAAAUGCGGUUUUACUAUUAUUUAAUUUAAUUUUUAUAUUUGUUAGAUAUAUUAGAUAUAAAAUCAAGGGAUAGAAAAGAAAUAAAAUGUCCUUUUCAGAAUAUUAUUUCUUUAAGUUGAAUGCGGUCCACAUGUGAAAAGUAUAGGAAAUAGGAAUGGCCUAAGGAAAGAACAAUACUUGACUAUUUAAAGAUUAGUAGGAAUUCCUACUCAAUUUUUUUUUCAAAAUUGUUCGUUGUCAAUUUAUAGAACUUCGUGUUUAUAAUCAGAACUAUUCAUAUUAUAAAUCACCCUAUAAAGAUCGUCUUUGCAAAAAUCAAUUAAAACUAAGGUUGUUUAGUCAUCAAAAUGUUUAAAAAUAAAUGAAUGGUUUUGGUAAAAGCAUUAUGAACUGUCCAUGUACUUGCUAUAAUAGAUUGACUAAACGAUCUUAGUUUUAAUUUAGUUUUUGUAGAGAUGAUCUUUACAGUGUAAUUUAUAGUAUGAAUGGUUCUUAUCAUAAAUACAAAGUUCUGUCAUUAAAACAUUAUGAAUUUUGAGUAGGAGUUCAAACUCAUCUGAGUAGUCAAGUAUUAUUCCUAAGGAAAAGGGGUGGGCAUUUCCCUUGUAAAAAAUCAGAUCCUAGAAAAUCUCACACUACCUACCUUCUGAGAAUCUGAAUUAUGAAAAUUUAACAGACACAACGUGGCCCAUUUUUCUGCAAAUCAUCAUUGCAUUUCUUAUUCUGGUGCUUGCCAUAAUAAUGCAAACAUAAAAUAAAAGGUUAACAUAUCCUUUUUCAAAUGUUAUCAUUAGAACGCAAGUCCACCUCUGCUACAAAGGUAGAGAAGAGUGUUGCCCUUACAUCAGGGUAUGGAUUCGAAUUAUGUCGGUUCUUUAAUCUAAUAUCUAAUCUAACAAAUCUAUCUUUGACCUAAAAAAAUGUUAUCAUCAGAACUGUUCGUUGUUAUUUAAAAAUUAUUGGGUUAAGUCAGGAUAAUUAUUUUUUAAGGGUGGUUUUAGAUUGGUCAUAACUUUUUUUUAAUAAACAAACGAUAUCAUUUAGGUGAAGGAUGAAUUUAGCCUCACAAUGGACUGAAAAGAAUCGAACCUAAGACUCUGACUUACAAGUGAAAAUGAAUACCACUAGACACUUCAAUAAUGUGGUCAUAACCUUUUAAAACAAUUCAAAUAACUACCUAAAGUUUUGAAAAAUAGUCAUCUAUUAGGUUCACUAGCUUUCAGUUAUGAUAUGAACAAAUAUUAAGCAUGUUUUAAAUCUCAAGUCAUCUAUGGAGAUUUGAAUCUCCAAAUUGACGCAUUUUGGAAGUCUCUCUCCUCUAGAUUAUUGUAAGAACAUCUCCAAUGGAAUGACAGCAAAGGGGCUUGCUGUCAAAUAUAACAACAGCUUCAAAUUUUCUUUAUUAAUUAUUAAAUGUCUUUUAUUAAUAAUUAAUUGUCAUUUAUUAUUGGAUUGUUGAACGGUAGAGCUUGUUUUAUGUACUACAUUUUUCUUCUUUUUUAAUCAACAAGUUCUUUUCAAUAUAAGCGACGAUGCCUUGUGAAAUAUAGUGAUUCAUUCUUCAAUCCUACAUUAUUUUGUGAACCCUCAAAUUUUUUCAAACUCAUCUUCUGAUUCAGCGGAGGAGUCUGGAAAAAUUUGAGGCAUGUUUUGCUUGUGGAUUUAUGGUUUUUGUCAACAGUUCUUCAGGUUUUUUGCUUUUUGUGCCGUUUUUAGAGAUUCUGUGCACAUGUUGUGAUGCUUUUAAUGGGAGAAUUUUUUUAGUGAGGAGUUGUUGGGUGUGAAUCAUGGGUGAUUUCCUUUUCUUAUUUUAUUUUUACUGGAUUUUAGGAUCCAUAUGAUCCAUCCACAUAAUUCAUAUAUGGAAAAGAAAUGGAAGCAAAUCAAAAUCCAGCUACUUCUAAGCAAUGAUUAUUCAUUUGAUAGAAAACUUCAUUUUAAUCUUUACAAAAUAUGAAUUUUAGACUAUGACAUUGUGUAAGAUUAAAAUCUAAUUUUAGUCCUUAGUUCAUUUAAUCAUCUCAUUUAUUAGUUAUAUUUUGAUGUUUUAUUUAUCUUUUUAUUUUUAUUUUAAUAUAUUAAUUUCAUUUAAAUUUAAUUUUUAUUUCAUUCAUCAAAAUUUAUUUUAAUGUCAACAUUUAGGCAACUAAUUUUUUUAUAAUAUAUAUUCCGAUAACAAUUUUGUAUAUCCAUCCAUACAAACAUAUAGGUACUUUAAUUCAAUAUAAUGCAUUUCGGUACGUACAUUUUGGUACACACAUUUGAGUAUCAACUUUUUGGUACAUUAAUUUAAUAUAUUAUAUUUCAGUACAUACAUUUUGGUACGUACAUUUUGGUACUUACAUUUCGAUAUUGAUAUUUAGGUACAUUAAUUCAAUAUAAUACAUUUUGGUUCAUUAUAAUAUAUUUCGGUACAAUUGUAGAUACAAAAAUUUCAGUACAAAAAAAUCAAUUUUAUAUAUUUCGGCACAGUCAUUUUUGUACACUUAUGUAUUUAUAUAUUUUUGUAUUACAAAUUUGUUUUAAUAUUUUCUCAUUUAUGUUCAUUUAUAAUUAGAGGACUAAAUAUGUGCAAAUUAAUAAAAUUAAAAUUUAAUGGGGAGAGAUUAAAUAAAAAUACACAUUAAAUAACAAAAAUUGAAUAUAAAUUUUUAUAAAAAUACACUUCAAGAGAUUAAAUUGAAUAUGUAAUCUAGCACCAGAUUUUUUUAAAUUUUAAUCUUUUGCAAGGAUUCAUGUUAAAAAAACCUCUUGAUUUGACCCGGAAAUUCUAGAGAUUUGUGUCGUAUAUAAACCCAGCAAAACCCAGAAUUCUAAGUAUCCAGAAGAACCCAGCAACAAGAGCUAGAACAGCAAUGGCUCUUCUAGCACUUGUGUUUGAGCAGCUGCAGAAAAAUGUCUUUCUUCUUCCUCUUCUCGUCCUUUCUGCGUUCAUUCUCUUUUCGUUUACUAGAUCAUCGUCCAAUGGCGAUGAGAAACGCAAACUCAAGUUACCACCUUCCCCGCCAAGGUUGCCAUUGAUUGGAAACCUUCACCAGUUAGGCACAUUCCCGCACCUUUCUCUCCAUGCUCUCUCGAAAAAGUAUGGCAAUUUAAUGCUAGUGCAUUUUGGGAAAGUUUCGACUCUGAUUGUUUCGUCUGCAGAGAUGGCCAAGGAGGUGAUGA
RNAcentral lists this long non-coding RNA (24053 nucleotides) under Malus domestica (apple). RNAcentral's name for it is "long non-coding RNA (MDOM_LNC014252)". The record is from RNAcentral. Lineage: Eukaryota; Viridiplantae; Streptophyta; Magnoliopsida; Rosales; Rosaceae.